AUGAAGCCCUGCUUGCAGGGUGGAUUAGUGGCGAACGGGUGAGUAACACGUGAGUAACCUGCCCCCGACUCUGGGAUAAGCCCGGGAAACUGGGUCUAAUACCGGAUAUGACUUCCUACUGCAUGGUGGGUUGUUGAAAGAUUUAUCGGUGGGGGAUGGACUCGCGGCCUAUCAGCUUGUUGGUGAGGUAAUGGCUCACCAAGGCGACGACGGGUAGCCGGCCUGAGAGGGUGACCGGCCACACUGGGACUGAGACACGGCCCAGACUCCUACGGGAGGCAGCAGUGGGGAAUAUUGCACAAUGGGCGGAAGCCUGAUGCAGCGACGCCGCGUGAGGGAUGACGGCCUUCGGGUUGUAAACCUCUUUCAGUAGGGAAGAAGCGAAAGUGACGGUACCUGCAGAAGAAGCGCCGGCUAACUACGUGCCAGCAGCCGCGGUAAUACGUAGGGCGCAAGCGUUAUCCGGAUUUAUUGGGCGUAAAGAGCUCGUAGGCGGUUUGUCGCGUCUGCCGUGAAAGUCCGAGGCUCAACCUCGGAUCUGCGGUGGGUACGGGCAGACUAGAGUGAUGUAGGGGAGACUGGAAUUCCUGGUGUAGCGGUGAAAUGCGCAGAUAUCAGGAGGAACACCGAUGGCGAAGGCAGGUCUCUGGGCAUUUACUGACGCUGAGGAGCGAAAGCAUGGGGAGCGAACAGGAUUAGAUACCCUGGUAGUCCAUGCCGUAAACGUUGGGCACUAGGUGUGGGGGACAUUCCACGUUUUCCGCGCCGUAGCUAACGCAUUAAGUGCCCCGCCUGGGGAGUACGGCCGCAAGGCUAAAACUCAAAGGAAUUGACGGGGGCCCGCACAAGCGGCGGAGCAUGCGGAUUAAUUCGAUGCAACGCGAAGAACCUUACCAAGGCUUGACAUGUGCCAGACCGCUCCAGAGAUGGGGUUUCCCUUCGGGGCUGGUUCACAGGUGGUGCAUGGUUGUCGUCAGCUCGUGUCGUGAGAUGUUGGGUUAAGUCCCGCAACGAGCGCAACCCUCGUUCCAUGUUGCCAGCACGUAGU
This 1048-nucleotide ribosomal RNA is filed under the name Glutamicibacter nicotianae. RNAcentral describes it as "bacterial SSU rRNA". It matches the Rfam family "Bacterial small subunit ribosomal RNA", at positions 69 to 1129 of the family's 1533-position model. Lineage: Bacteria; Bacillati; Actinomycetota; Actinomycetes; Micrococcales; Micrococcaceae. The record is from RNAcentral.